This is a long non-coding RNA of Sphaeramia orbicularis (orbiculate cardinalfish), 145 nucleotides long. RefSeq lists it as uncharacterized. Lineage: Eukaryota; Metazoa; Chordata; Actinopteri; Kurtiformes; Apogonidae. The transcript is spliced from 2 exons. The record is from RefSeq and is a predicted model, not a curated record.
AAAAACAAAAAACUGUGUAGGGAAGAAGGAUGUAAAUUAACUUUGAUAGAAUCUCCAAAAGCCACUAAAUCACUUUUCUACAUGAGAAUACGACUUCACUUCCAGUACAACGACAUGUGAAUCAUGACAAAAGGCAACUUUUUCA